UUUGGUCAUCUUUACCGAUUGCAUUUAUCAUUCUGGUUAUCAUGCAUUCAUCUUCUCUAUUUCCCUCUCUCGAACCCGCGCUAGGGUUUUUCAUGCCCUCGCUCUGACUUCUGCUUCUUCUUCUUUCUCUUUUCACCUGGGCAUCUCCUUCUCCUUUCCCCUCUCUGUUUUCACCGAAACAUUCAUCAUUCCCUCUUCUUCCAUUCAUUCUGACCUUUUCGUUUUUUCUCCAUUUGCAGCUAUCUCACGAUGGCUCGCUUGAAACAAACUGCGCGCAUCAUUGCCCCAUCCUCUGGUGCACAGCCUUCCGCGAGUGCGCCAUCCUCUGGCGCACAGCCUUCCGCGAGUGCGCCAGCUCCACCACCGCCUGUGGCUACCUCCUACCACGACAAUGCCAGAGUCUACGAAUGGGCUCCCUUGGCAUUGCUCGCUGAAAC
This 437-nucleotide long non-coding RNA is filed under the name Phaseolus vulgaris (common bean). Its description in RNAcentral is "long non-coding RNA (PVUL_LNC005039)". Lineage: Eukaryota; Viridiplantae; Streptophyta; Magnoliopsida; Fabales; Fabaceae. The record is from RNAcentral.